Non-coding RNA from Rhodnius prolixus, 45 nucleotides. The record is from Rfam. NCBI's taxonomy places the organism in Eukaryota, Metazoa, Arthropoda, Insecta, Hemiptera, Reduviidae.
UCAACGGCCCUUUUCAGGGCCAACAAAUGCUCAUUAAUAUCACUU